AGAUAGAGGCGCGGCCAACAUCAGUAGGCAUGGUCAGGGACCCGGCUCCCCGCGAGCCAUGCUGAAAGGGACGGCCGCCGAAGGGCCCCACGUGCCGGAACGGGCGGGCUCUGGUCGCCGGGUUAACAGCCCCGUGACUGUCACCAGGUAGGCUUCCUGGUGGAGCGCUGUCUG
This 174-nucleotide non-coding RNA is filed under the name uncultured Lawsonibacter sp. RNAcentral describes it as "Lysine riboswitch". It matches the Rfam family "Lysine riboswitch aptamer". From Rfam's summary of the family: Riboswitches are metabolite binding domains within certain messenger RNAs that serve as precision sensors for their corresponding targets. Allosteric rearrangement of mRNA structure is mediated by ligand binding, and this results in modulation of gene expression. This family includes riboswitches that sense lysine in a number of genes involved in lysine metabolism, including lysC. Lineage: Bacteria; Bacillati; Bacillota; Clostridia; Eubacteriales; Oscillospiraceae. The record is from RNAcentral.